This 2005-nucleotide ribosomal RNA is filed under the name human gut metagenome. RNAcentral describes it as "bacterial LSU rRNA". It matches the Rfam family "Bacterial large subunit ribosomal RNA", at positions 1 to 1999 of the family's 2925-position model. The record is from RNAcentral.
UUAAGAUACUAAGGGCAUACGGCGGAUGCCUUGGCGAUAUCUGCCGAAGAAGGACGCGACAAGCUGCGAAAAGCUGCGGAGAGGCGCAAAUAGCCAUUGAACCGCAGAUAUCCGAAUGGAGAAAUCCGGCAGGGCUCAUCCCCUGUCAUCCAUGCCAUAGAGCAUGAGAAGGUAAGCCGGUGAACUGAAACAUCUAAGUAGCCGGAGGAGAAGAAAUCAAACGAGAUACCCCAAGUAGCGGCGAGCGAACGGGGCAGAAGCCCAAACCGGAGAAGGAAACUUCACCGGGGUUGAGGACCGUCAGAGCUUAAGAGGAAGUUAGCCGAAACGCCUGGGAAGGCGUGCCGAAGACAGUGAGAGCCUGGUAGGCGAAAACGGAGACUUAGGAGACGGAAUCCAGAGUACCGCGGGACACGAGAAACCCCGUGGGAAGCAGGGGGGACCACCCUCCAAGGCAAAACACAGAUAUCGACCGAUAGCGCAUAGUACCGUGAGGGAAAGGUGAAAAGCACCCCGGGAGGGGAGUGAAAUAGAACCUGAAACCGUAUGUUUACAAGCAGUCGGAGACCGUAUAUAUACCAGGUCGACGGCGUGCCUAUUGAAGAAUGAACCAGCGAGUUACGAGGACCGGCAAGGUUAAGCAGGAAAUGCGGAGCCGAAGCGAAAGCGAGUCUUAAUAGGGCGAGAGUCGGAAUGCGUAGACCCGAAACCACAGUGAUCUACCCAUGUCCAGGCUGAAACACAGGUAAAAAUGUGCGGAGGGCCGAACCUAUAUCUGUUGAAAAAGGUUAGGAUGAGGUGUGGGUAGGGGUGAAAUUCCAAUCGAACGUGGAGAUAGCUGGUUCUCCCCGAAAUAGCUUUAGGGCUAGCCUCAGGUGGUGAUUACAGGCGGUAGAGCACUGAUCAGGAGAGGGACCUACCCGGUUACCAAACCCAGUCAAACUCCGAAUGGCUGUAAUCAAACCUGGGAGUCAGACCACGACUUAUAAGGGCCGUGGUCAAGAGGGAAACAGCCCAGAUCAUCAGCUAAGGUCCCAAAUGCCGUGCUAAGUGGCGAAGGAUGUGGCGUUUCAUAAACAACCAGGAUGUUGGCUCAGAAGCAGCCACCAUUCAAAGAGUGCGUAAUAGCUCACUGGUCGAGAGACGCUGCGCCGAAGAUGUCCGGGGCUAAAGUACGGAACCGAAGCUUUGGCAAUUAACAUUAGUUAAUUGGGUAGGGGAGCGUUCCUGCAUGGGAGAAGCCUGACCGGAAGGACAGGUGGACAGGCAGGAAGAGAGAAUGUCGGUAUGAGUAGCGAAAAGAAGGGUGAGAAUCCCUUCCACCGAAAGCCUAAGGGUUCCUGAGCAACGAUCGUCGUCUCAGGGUAAGUCGGGACCUAAGCCGAGGCAAAGACGCAUAGGCGAUGGAGAACAGGUUGAAAUUCCUGUACCGGAGCAGUCCGUCUGAGCGAUGGAGUGACGCAGCAGGGCACACGAGCAUGCGGCUGGAAGAGCAUGUCCAAGCCCGUAGCCCGUAUGGCAGGGAAAUCCGCCAUGCAAAAGGGUGAGAGGUGACGGGGAGUUAAAGGAAACUUUGACGAACUCGUGAAUCCCACACUGCCAAGAAAAGCUUCUAGCGAGGACUGAUCCGCCCGUACCGUAAACCGACACAGGUAGGCGGGGAGAGAAUCCUAAGGUGCGCGGGAAAACCCUCGUUAAGGAACUCGGCAAAUUGCAUCCGUAACUUCGGAAGAAGGAUGGCCCUGAGUAGGCGAAAAGUCAAGCACUUGGAACCGGAAAGGGCGGCAGAAAAGAGGCCCAAGCAACUGUUUACCAAAAACACAGGUGCCUGCGAAAGCGAAAGCUGACGUAUAGGUGCUGACGCCUGCCCGGUGCUGGAAGGUUAAGGAGAGAGGUUAGCGCAAGCGAAGCUUUGAACUGAAGCCCCAGUGAACGGCGGCCGUAACUAUAACGGUCCUAAGGUAGCGAAAUUCCUUGUCGGGUAAGUUCCGACCCGCACGAAAGG